UGUUAAAAUCUUGCUUUUUCCUCCU
This 25-nucleotide non-coding RNA is filed under the name Rattus norvegicus (Norway rat). Lineage: Eukaryota; Metazoa; Chordata; Mammalia; Rodentia; Muridae. The record is from RNAcentral.